AUGGCGCCGAAGAAGCGGAAGGCGGAUCCGGCGGCGGCCGCCGGCGCCGACCCCGCCGCCCACCACGAGAAGCCCGAGCAGAAGCCCCGCGUCGGGACCAUCUACUACCCCAUCACCGACGACCCCCCGGAGCCGGCCGCGGACGCCGCCGCCGCCGCCGCCCUGGAGGAGGAGGACCUCGCCUACGACUACGAGGAGGAGGACGUCACCAAGCUGCUCGAGCCGCUCUCCCGGGAGCAGCUCGUGGCCCUGCUCCGCGCGGCCGCCGAGGCGAGCCCCGCCACCAUGGCGGCCGUGCGCCGCGCCGCCGAGUCCGACCCCGCCAGCAGGAAGCUCUUCGUGCACGGCCUCGGCUGGGGCGCCGGCGUCGAGGACCUCCGCUCCGCCUUCUCCCGCUUCGGCGAGCUCGAGGACUGCCGCGUCAUCACCGACAAGCAGUCCGGCAAGUCCAAGGGCUACGGCUUCGUGCUCUACCAGUCCCGCACCUCGGCGCUCCGCGCCCUCCGCCGCCCCCAGCUCGACAUCGGCGGCCGCCUCGCCUUCUGCCACCUCGCCGCCUCGGGCCCUGCACCCCCGGCCUCCCAGUCCCAUAACCCUAGCUCCAACGCCAACGCCAGCUCAGGCACCACCAACAACAACGCCCCCGCUUCCUCCUCCUCGCUGCCUGACAACAUGCAGCGCAAGAUCUUUGUUGGCAACGUGCACGCUGAUGUUGAUGUAAAUCGCCUCUAUGAGUACUUCUCGCAGUUUGGUGAGAUUGAAGAGGGGCCGCUGGGCUUUGACAAGAGCACCGGCAAGCCCAAGGGGUUUGCGCUGUUUGUUUACAAGUCUGUGGACAGUGCUCGCCGCGCCCUGGAGGAGCCUAUGAGGAAUUUUGAUGGCAAGAUGCUCAAUGUGCAGAAGGCCAUAGAUGGGAGGACAAAGGGCUCAUCCGGGUCCAACUCGAGUGCUAACAAUGCCAAUGCCACCGCUGCUUCUACACAAAUGACCAUGCCCUCUAUUGCCGCCAUUAAUCCAUAUGAUCCAUCAGCGUAUGGUGCCGCUGCUGUUCAUGACAUGGGGUUCGCCCAGCAAGCUGCCUUGCUGGGGAUGGGUGCACAGCAGCAAGCGUUUGCGCAGCCCAAUACUGCAAUGCUGGCCAUGAUGGCAGCCGCGAUGCAGAACCCAGCCAUGCUUGCAUCGCUAAAUCCAGCUUUUGCUGCUGCUGCAUUGGGCGCCGGGGGGCAAUCUGGCAUUCCUGGUUUUGGAGCUCAGGGCUUUGGGACACAAGGGUUUGGGGCUGCUGGCGUCAAUUUUCCAAAUGCAGCAGGUCUUCAGGGAGCUGCAGCAUAUCAAGGAGGGCCUCCUGGUUUUCAGGGGACACCUGGGUUCCCCACUUCUGCUGGGUUUCAGGUCGGCCAAGCAGCUUCCCAAACGGGCACAACUGCAGCCGCCACUGGUGCUGCUGGUGGUUAUCAGGCUGGGGCUGCUGGGCAGGGCCAAGUGUCCAAUACCCAGAUUGGUGGCACUGGUUUUCAGGGUGGCUAUUGA
Molecule: ribosomal RNA, 1530 nt
Filed under: Triticum aestivum (bread wheat)
Lineage: Eukaryota; Viridiplantae; Streptophyta; Magnoliopsida; Poales; Poaceae
Description: partial small subunit ribosomal RNA
Source: RNAcentral